CCUACGGGAGGCAGCAGUGAGGAAUAUUGCACAAUGGAGGGAAGCCUGAUCCAGCGAAGCCGCGUGCAGGAUGGAGUCUUUCUGUGUGGAAAGCCGUAUCAGCAGGGGAGAAAAAUGACGGUACCUGACUCCGCAGCACCGGCUACAUACGUGCCAGCAGCCGCGGUAAUCCGUAUGGUGCAAGCGUUAUCCGGAUUUACUGGGUGUAAAGGGAGCGCAGGCGGUGAGUUAAGCCUGGUGUGAAAGCCCGCGGCCCAACCGUGGGACUGCAGUGGGAACUGGCGAGCUGGAGUGCAGGAGGGGUAGGCGGAAUUCAUAGUGUAGCGGUGAAAUGCGUAGAUAUCAGGAGGAACACCAGUGGCGAAGGCG
RNAcentral lists this ribosomal RNA (369 nucleotides) under uncultured bacterium. Its description in RNAcentral is "partial 16S ribosomal RNA". It matches the Rfam family "Bacterial small subunit ribosomal RNA", at positions 338 to 723 of the family's 1533-position model. The record is from RNAcentral.